Molecule: long non-coding RNA, 199 nt
Filed under: Elaeis guineensis (African oil palm)
Lineage: Eukaryota; Viridiplantae; Streptophyta; Magnoliopsida; Arecales; Arecaceae
Description: long non-coding RNA (EGUI_LNC008201)
Source: RNAcentral
UCACCUCCAUCUCUCUUUAGACUCUUUAGGCACAUCUCAUAUAGGCAGUCAUCAUAGCCUCUUUAUGAAUAAAGUAAUACUGAUUUUAGAUUGAAUAUAGGUCGGUAGUAUCGGAUCCACUCUUGGGCUAGGCCUGGGUCGGGCCAAAGAUAUAUCCGAGCCUAGCUCAAAAUUCAAAUGGAUCCUAUAAUUAGACUCA